CUCUUAUCUAGGAAUGUGGGUGCCGGCAGGACAGGCGAUUGGUGGCUAUGGACCGCCCCCUGCAGGAAGAGGAGCCCCCCCGCCACCCCCACCGUUCACCUCCUACAUCGUGUCCACCCCUCCUGGAGGCUUUCCCCCUCCCCAGGGCUUCCCUCAGGGCUACGGUGCCCCGCCACAGUUCAGUUUUGGCUACGGGCCUCCACCUCCACCGCCAGAUCAGUUUGCCCCUCCGGGGGUUCCUCCUCCACCAGCCACUCCCGGGGCAGCACCUCUGGCUUUCCCACCGCCUCCGUCUCAGGCUGCCCCGGACAUGAGCAAGCCCCCGACAGCUCAGCCAGACUUCCCCUAUGGUCAGUAUGGCCUGGGUUCCUAUUCUCCAGCCCCGCCGGGCUGCGGCCCACACUUUGUUUACAGUCUUAUGGUCAGGCUGAGCAGUGAUGUGGCCUAGGUUACGGGCAGGACUUGAGUGGCUUCGGACAGGGCUUCUCAGACCCCAGCCAGCAGCCUCCUUCCUACGGGGGUCCCUCCGUGCCAGGGUCGGGGGGCCCCCCCGCCGGCGGCAGCGGCUUUGGACGAGGGCAGAACCACAACGUGCAAGGGUUCCACCCCUACCGACGCUAGCCCGCGGCGCCGCGACGUCUGCACGGCCCAGACCCAGGAUUCCAAACUUGUGAACUCGUGACAAUCACAAACUUGGCGGCAAAGUGGCGACUCAACCUUGGGGGGGGGGGCGGGGGGAGGGCGCGAGGCUUUUGGAGCGGCUGUGGGUGUCGUCUGGACUGAGGUUUUUAAAUAUUUCUUUCUCUAACCCAUCAGCACAAUAAAAAAAAGUCACUGGUUCAACAACAGGGUUUAAAAAAAAUGUCUUCAGCUUUAAUUCAAAACUUCAGGUUUCUUUUUCUUCCUUUUUUUUGGAAAUUAUUUUCCUGAGCCUUUUGUUUUACGGUAUAUUGUAAACUUUUAUGUUAAAGAAAAAAUAUACAUUUACAAAUUGUGAGAUUUUUAAGAGAAAUUUUCUACGAUG
This 1024-nucleotide long non-coding RNA is filed under the name Homo sapiens (human). RNAcentral's name for it is "long non-coding RNA NONHSAT179330.1". The record is from RNAcentral. Lineage: Eukaryota; Metazoa; Chordata; Mammalia; Primates; Hominidae.